RNAcentral lists this ribosomal RNA (494 nucleotides) under uncultured bacterium. RNAcentral's name for it is "partial 16S ribosomal RNA". It matches the Rfam family "Bacterial small subunit ribosomal RNA", at positions 28 to 507 of the family's 1533-position model. The record is from RNAcentral.
GACGAACGCUGGCGGCGUGCUUAACACAUGCCAGUCGAACGGUGAAGCGCCUUCCUUUUUGGUGGGUGUGGAUGAGUGGCCAACGGGUGAGUAACACGUUAGUAACCUGCUCACUCCUUCUGGAUAACCGCAUGAAAGUGUUGCUAAUACGGGAUAUUCUGGGUCUGUCGCAUGAUGGGUCUGGGACAGAUUUUGUUUCGGUGGGGGAUGGGGUCGCGGCCUAUCAGCUUGUUGGUGGGGUGAUGGCCUACCAAGGCGAUGAGGGGUAGCCGGCCUGAGAGGGUGGGCGACCCUGCAGGGACGGAACGGCGGAGACGACUACUAGAGGCAGCAGUAGGGAGGAUUACGGCAUGGGGGGAGGAAGGCUGGUGCAGCGCCGCGGGAGUGAGGAUGGUGUCCGUCGGGUUGUGAACUGCUAUCGGGGGUGAAGCAGGGCUGCCUCGACUGUGGGUGGGUUGACGGUAGCUGGAUAGAAAGCGCCGGCUAACUACGUG